This is a long non-coding RNA of Saccostrea cuccullata (small rock oyster), 393 nucleotides long. RefSeq lists it as uncharacterized. The transcript has 4 exons. The record is from RefSeq and is a predicted model, not a curated record. NCBI's taxonomy places the organism in Eukaryota, Metazoa, Mollusca, Bivalvia, Ostreida, Ostreidae.
AUGUAGGACUAUCUUUUGUUUACUCUCCUUUUCUAUGAUGAUUUUCCUGCUGUUAAGCUUCUCUUGUAUAAAGCUCAAUUUCUCUAUGACCACGGAAGUAAUCAUCCUGAUGCAUUCUUGUCAUGUGAAUGUUGAGAGCGUGUUCAUUUUUGAAACAUCCUUUCUGACAGACCUAUUCCACAGGAUCAGCUGAGAUGUUAUUUCACUGGAUUAUUUAAUGGAUAGGCUUAUUGGGCAUAAGGUUGGAUAUCUCUGUCAUCAACAUGGAAGAUAUGUUUUGUUCCUAACCAUCUAUAAUCAAUUCUCUAUGAAGUUCAGACUGUCUGCUCUUCCUUUGGAAAUACACAGUUAGUCAAUCAACAUAGAAACACACAAUCUUGAAGGAUUCUCUAG